Molecule: ribosomal RNA, 266 nt
Filed under: uncultured bacterium
Lineage: Bacteria
Description: partial 16S ribosomal RNA
Rfam family: Bacterial small subunit ribosomal RNA
Source: RNAcentral
UACGGGGGGGGCAAGCGUUGUUCGGAAUUACUGGGCGUAAAGGGCCAGUAGGCGGCCAACUAAGUCGGAUGUGAAAUCCCCAGCUUAACCUGGGAACUGCAUCCGAUACUGGAUGGCUUGAAUUCGGGAGAGGGAUGCAGAAUUCCAGGUGUAGCGGUGAAAUGCGUAGAUAUCUGGAGGAAUACCGGUGGCGAAGGCGGCAUCCUGGACCGAGACUGACGCUGAGGCGCGAAAGCGUGGGGAGCAAACAAGGAUUAAGAAACCCU